AGUAGGCCCCGAAGGGGGAUCUCUCUAACACUCUGGCCCCCAUUACAACUUUGUAAUAUAUAGGUCUCUGAUACACAGCCCAAAUUGGCUCUUCUCACCUUAAUUGCUGUGGCUGGCUGGCUGACAGGCCUCUUACUUCACCCAGUCCCUUAGUGUAUCUUUUUUUCCUCCACCCUCUGUGUGUCUUCCCACCACCCCUUCAGUGCGUUUUUUUUUCUUUCUUUUCUUUUUUUUCUCAGCCCCUCUGUAUGUCUCUUUGUGUCCCCUUGACCUUCUGUGUG
This is a non-coding RNA of Pelobates cultripes (western spadefoot toad), 281 nucleotides long. NCBI's taxonomy places the organism in Eukaryota, Metazoa, Chordata, Amphibia, Anura, Pelobatidae. The record is from the annotation of a GenBank genome assembly.